UGGGGAAUAUUGCACAAUGGGCGCAAGCCUGAUGCAGCCAUGCCGCGUGUGUGAAGAAGGCCUUCGGGUUGUAAAGCACUUUCAGCGGGGAGGAAGGCGGUGAGGUUAAUAACCUCAUCGAUUGACGUUACCCGCAGAAGAAGCACCGGCUAACUCCGUGCCAGCAGCCGCGGUAAUACGGAGGGUGCAAGCGUUAAUCGGAAUUACUGGGCGUAAAGCGCACGCAGGCGGUCUGUCAAGUCGGAUGUGAAAUCCCCGGGCUCAACCUGGGAACUGCAUUCGAAACUGGCAGGCUAGUGUCUUGUAGAGGGGGGUAGAAUUCCAGGUGUAGCGGUGAAAUGCGUAGAGAUCUGGAGGAAUACCGGUGGCGAAGGCGGCCCCCUGGACAAAGACUGACGCUCAGGUGCGAAAGCGUGGGGAGCAAACAGG
Molecule: ribosomal RNA, 429 nt
Filed under: Chloroflexota bacterium
Lineage: Bacteria; Bacillati; Chloroflexota
Description: Chloroflexi bacterium partial 16S ribosomal RNA
Rfam family: Bacterial small subunit ribosomal RNA
Source: RNAcentral